Molecule: long non-coding RNA, 265 nt
Organism: Neopelma chrysocephalum (saffron-crested tyrant-manakin)
Lineage: Eukaryota; Metazoa; Chordata; Aves; Passeriformes; Pipridae
Exons: 3
Source: RefSeq, a predicted model, not a curated record
GCACCACGAGGAAGAGCAGGUUGUUCCUGUGUUGUGCAGAGACCUUGCUUGUUGGAGUGCUGGUGUCUGUUCCUGGCAGCAAUGACAAGGCCGAGUGCAGGAACAAGGAGGUGCUCUGGUACAAACCACUUGUCUGAAGUAAACAAUGUCUUUUAGGACUUUCCUGGUAUCUGAGGCACCUGCUGUUUAGAUCUACAGCAGACCUGCUGACAACGCUCAUUAUUCUGUGGUAAAUGAUACUCAAAUGUUCUGCAGCAGCAGGAAA